Hordeum vulgare subsp. vulgare (domesticated barley) is the source of this 111-nucleotide long non-coding RNA. RefSeq lists it as uncharacterized. NCBI's taxonomy places the organism in Eukaryota, Viridiplantae, Streptophyta, Magnoliopsida, Poales, Poaceae. The transcript has 2 exons. The record is from RefSeq and is a predicted model, not a curated record.
UGAUGAGGCGUUUGAGCAUUUUGGCUCCUUUGUUUCAAGGAAAAUUGAUGAGGCUACUAAAAUAGGCAAAAUAAAUCUUGCUGCUACUGGAAAGGACCUUAUGGACGACGA